GAUGAACGCUGGCGGCGUGCCUAAUACAUGCAAGUCGAGCGAACAGACGAGGAGCUUGCUCCUCUGACGUUAGCGGCGGACGGGUGAGUAACACGUGGAUAACCUACCUAUAAGACUGGGAUAACUUCGGGAAACCGGAGCUAAUAUCGGAUAAUAUAUUGAACCGCAUGGUUCAAUAGUGAAAGACGGUUUUGCUGUCACUUAUAGAUGGAUCCGCGCCGCAUUAGCUAGUUGGUAAGGUAACGGCUUACCAAGGCAACGAUGCGUAGCCGACCUGAGAGGGUGAUCAGCCACACUGGAACUGAGACACGGUCCAGACUCCUACGGGAGGCAGCAGUAGGGAAUCUUCCGCAAUGGGCGAAAGCCUGACGGAGCAACGCCGCGUGAGUGAUGAAGGUCUUCGGGUCGUAAAACUCUGUUAUUAGGGAAGAACAAAUGUAUAAGUAACUAUGCACGUCUUGACGGUACCUAAUCAGAAAGCCACGGCUAACUACGUG
This 497-nucleotide ribosomal RNA is filed under the name uncultured bacterium. RNAcentral describes it as "partial 16S ribosomal RNA". It matches the Rfam family "Bacterial small subunit ribosomal RNA", at positions 28 to 507 of the family's 1533-position model. The record is from RNAcentral.